AUUGAACGCUGGCGGAAUGCUUUACACAUGCAAGUCGAACGGCAGCACGGACUUCGGUCUGGUGGCGAGUGGCGAACGGGUGAGUAAUGUAUCGGGACGUGCCCAGUCGUGGGGGAUAACGUAGUGAAAAUUACGCUAAUACCGCAUACGAUCUAUGGAUGAAAGCGGGGGAUCGCAAGACCUCGCGCGAUUGGAGCGGCCGAUUUCAGAUUAGGUAGUUGGUGGGGUAAAGGCCCACCAAGCCAACGAUCUGUAGCUGGUCUGAGAGGACGACCAGCCACACUGGAACUGAGACACGGUCCAGACUCCUACGGGAGGCAGCAGUGGGGAAUUUUGGACAAUGGGCGAAAGCCUGAUCCAGCCAUUCCGCGUGCAGGGUGAAGGCCCUCGGAUUGUAAACUGCUUUUGUACAGAACGAAAAGGUUUCUACUAAUACUAGGAGCUCAUGACGGUACUGUAAGAAUAAGCACCGGCUAACUACGUGCCAGCCGCCGCAGUAA
This 500-nucleotide ribosomal RNA is filed under the name uncultured bacterium. RNAcentral's name for it is "partial 16S ribosomal RNA". It matches the Rfam family "Bacterial small subunit ribosomal RNA", at positions 30 to 523 of the family's 1533-position model. The record is from RNAcentral.